RNAcentral lists this ribosomal RNA (497 nucleotides) under uncultured bacterium. RNAcentral describes it as "partial 16S ribosomal RNA". It matches the Rfam family "Bacterial small subunit ribosomal RNA", at positions 28 to 507 of the family's 1533-position model. The record is from RNAcentral.
GAUGAACGCUGGCGGCGUGCCUAAUACAUGCCAGUCGAGCGAACAGACGAGGAGCUUGCUCCUCUGACGUUAGCGGCGGACGGGUGAGUAACACGUGGAUAACCUACCUAUAAGACUGGGAUAACUUCGGGAAACCGGAGCUAAUACCGGAUAAUAUAUUGAACCGCAUGGUUCAAUAGUGAAAGACGGUUUUGCUGUCACUGAUAGAUGGAUCCGCGCCGCAUUAGCUAGUUGGUAAGGUAACGGCUUACCAAGGCAACGAUGCGUAGCCGACCUGAGAGGGUGAUCGGCCACACUGGCACUGAGACACGGUCCAGACUCCUACGGGAGGCAGCAGUAGGGAAUCUUCCGCAAUGGGCGAAAGCCUGACGGAGCAACGCCGCGUGAGUGAUGAAGGUCUUCGGAUCGUAAAACUCUGUUAUUAGGGAAGAACAAAUGUGUAAGUAACUAUGCACGUCUUGACGGUACCUAAUCAGAAAGCCACGGCUAACUACGUG